RNAcentral lists this ribosomal RNA (693 nucleotides) under Triticum aestivum (bread wheat). RNAcentral describes it as "partial small subunit ribosomal RNA". The record is from RNAcentral. Lineage: Eukaryota; Viridiplantae; Streptophyta; Magnoliopsida; Poales; Poaceae.
GCUAGCAGGCGAGUACUGGUUAGAUGCGUCCUGAGCGCUAUGCCAACUUUCACACUGUCUGUUCUUCGAGAGCCAAAGAAACUCCUCAAGGAAAUUGACAAAUGCCGGCAUAGGUUCCUCUGGAAACAGGAUGAGGAGAUCACAUGUGGCAGCUGCAAGGUAAAUUGGUCGGUGGUGUGCACUCCCACAUCGCAUGGAGGACUGGGGAUCCUCGACCUCGAAUGUUUCAGUAGUGCCCUUAGACUGCGGUGGCUUUGGAUCUCCUGGACUGACCCGGGGCGGCCAUGGGUAGGCAAGGAGCCACCAUGCAACGCCAGCGACGAGGCCCUUUUCGUGGCGGUGACCACGGUCACCAUCGGCGAUGGUGCAACAGCACUCUUCUGGCACUCCUCCUGGAUCGGUUCGACCACCCUUGCCAGCGCAUACCCCAUCCUCUACAAGCAUUCUAGGCGCAAAAACAGGACGGUGCGCGAUGCGCUCAGGGAUGAGACCUGGAUAAAGGACCUGCGUCAUGGAAAUGUUCAGCCACUGCUGCCGGCCGGAAUACAUCCGGUUGCACCGCAUGAUCACAAUGGCCGCCACCGAGCUAACAGAGGGACGCAGGGACUAGAUUCGGUGGACUAUGGAUGCAAAGGGCCAAUACUCGACAAGAUCAGCCUAUGCCACGCAAUUCCAGGGCAGAGUGCAAGUUGA